GGGGAGUUUCCCUGCACAAGCUCUCUCUUUGCCUGCUGUCAUCCAUGUAAGGCGUGACUUGUUCCUCCUUGCCUUCCAUCAUAAUUGUGAGGCCUCCCAUCCAUGUGGAACUAUGAAGAGCUAUAAGAAUGGAAUCGAGACUAGGAGAGGAACAUCCAAAGGAGAGAAAAUGACUGCAGUGGGAGAGAACAAGAGCUACGAUCAAAAAGAGGAGAGACAAGCAGCACUGAGGAAGACAGAAGGGUAAGAAGAGAUGAUGUCAGAAGUGGGAUCCAAAGAAAAGCUUCCAGUGACCCCCAGGAGCACUGAGUGACCAAGCAAGCAAGAAAAGGUUAAAUGACUUGUGCACUGGGAAGAAAAAAAAAAAAAACAGUUGUCAUCCGUGGUGCCAAAAAUAGAAGUUCUGAUUUCCAGUCCUGUGAUCUCAACAGAAGACAGAAUGUUCACUCUAUCUGACUGAUACAAAAUACAACUUCUCCAAGGACUCUAUUAUUUUGAACUACUGUGUGCUGCACAUAUGCCAGGAGCUGAUUCAGUGGUUUCAUCCAAAUGUAAAGCAAAAUAUGGAAUUAUUUCAACAUAUAAUAAUAACUACUGUUACACUUAUGUAAGGCAAUAAAAAUAUUUUUGGCAAAAGCUUGUCCUGCUUUCUUUUUUGAGCAUAAUUUAUGUUUUACAAUCUUGUUGGCAAAAGUGUGACCUAUGUCUGUUUUUGUUCUGGUGAGUGCAACUAAGAAUGAUGCCACUGUCAUUUUUGUUCUUUUCUCUGUUUUGCAUGACAACAUUAAUAACUUUCACAAGGAAAAGUAUUAACUAGCAAAUAUUUCUGAAAAACUCAGAUAACCACAAAGAU
This 853-nucleotide long non-coding RNA is filed under the name Homo sapiens (human). RNAcentral's name for it is "HSALNT0192076". Lineage: Eukaryota; Metazoa; Chordata; Mammalia; Primates; Hominidae. The record is from RNAcentral.